RNAcentral lists this ribosomal RNA (197 nucleotides) under uncultured bacterium. Its description in RNAcentral is "partial 16S ribosomal RNA". It matches the Rfam family "Bacterial small subunit ribosomal RNA", at positions 328 to 539 of the family's 1533-position model. The record is from RNAcentral.
ACGCUCGACACCUAGGAGGCAGCAGUGGGGAAUAUUGCACAAUGGGGGAAACCCUGAUGCAGCGACGCCGCGUGGAGGAAGAAGGUCUUCGGAUUGUAAACUCCUGUUGUUGGGGAAAAAGAGGAUGGUACCCAACAAGGAAGUGACGGCUAACUACGUGCCAUCAGCCGCGGUAAUCUGAGGCGGGCUGGCAAGGC